GGAGAGGUGCGUGAGCUGGUUGAAACGAUCCGCCUCGAAAGCGGACAUACCUUAACGGGUAUCGGGGGUUCGAAUCCCUCCCUCUCCGCCA
RNAcentral lists this transfer RNA (91 nucleotides) under Terriglobia bacterium. RNAcentral's name for it is "tRNA-Ser". It matches the Rfam family "tRNA". From Rfam's summary of the family: Transfer RNA (tRNA) molecules are approximately 80 nucleotides in length. Their secondary structure includes four short double-helical elements and three loops (D, anti-codon, and T loops). RNAcentral also lists the same sequence under 1 other name. Lineage: Bacteria; Pseudomonadati; Acidobacteriota; Terriglobia. The record is from RNAcentral.